Molecule: ribosomal RNA, 497 nt
Filed under: uncultured bacterium
Lineage: Bacteria
Description: partial 16S ribosomal RNA
Rfam family: Bacterial small subunit ribosomal RNA
Source: RNAcentral
GAUGAACGCUGGCGGCGUGCCUAAUACAUGCAAGUCGAGCGAACAGACGAGGAGCUUGCUCCUUUGACGUUAGCGGCGGACGGGUGAGUAACACGUGGGUAACCUACCUAUAAGACUGGGAUAACUUCGGGAAACCGGAGCUAAUACCGGAUAAUAUUUCGAACCGCAUGGUUCGAUAGUGAAAGAUGGCUUUGCUAUCACUUAUAGAUGGACCUGCGCCGUAUUAGCUAGUUGGUAAGGUAACGGAUUAACAAGGCAACGAUACGUAGCCGACCUGAGAUGUUGAUCAGCCACACUCGAGCUGAGAGACGGUCCAGACUCCUACGCAACGCAGCAGUAAGGUGUCUUGCGCAAAGGGCGAAAGCCUAACGGAGCACCGCCGCGUGAGUGAUGAAGGUCUUCGGCUCGUAAUGCUGUGUUAUUAGGGAGGAACAAACGUGUAAGUAACUGUGCACGUCUUGACGGUGCCUAAUCAGAAAGCGACGGCUAACUACGUG